CCCUUAGAUGUCCUGGGCCGCACGCGCGCUACACUGAUGCAUGCAACGAGUAUAUAACCUUGGCCUGAAAGGCCUGGGUAAUCUUUUGAACGUGCAUCGUGAUAGGGAUAGAUUAUUGCAAUUAUUAAUCUUGAACGAGGAAUUCCUAGUAAACGCGAGUCAUCAGCUCGCAUUGAUUACGUCCCUGCCCUUUGUACACACCGCCCGUCGCUACUGCCAACUGAGAUGGGUCCUGAAUUGUUAGGAACGCCCGUCAAGGGGCCUACCCGGUCCCUAGUGCGGUGACGAGAAUAACUGUAAAUGGCAUAUCUUGUAGGGAGUAAAAGUCGUAACA
Molecule: ribosomal RNA, 334 nt
Filed under: uncultured eukaryote
Lineage: Eukaryota
Description: partial 18S ribosomal RNA
Rfam family: Eukaryotic small subunit ribosomal RNA
Source: RNAcentral